This 253-nucleotide ribosomal RNA is filed under the name uncultured bacterium. RNAcentral describes it as "partial 16S ribosomal RNA". It matches the Rfam family "Bacterial small subunit ribosomal RNA", at positions 524 to 776 of the family's 1533-position model. The record is from RNAcentral.
UACGUAGGGGGCUAGCGUUGUCCGGAAUCAUUGGGCGUAAAGCGCGCGUAGGCGGCCCGGUAAGUCCGCUGUAAAAGUCAAAGGCUCAACCUUUGAAUGUCAGUGGAUACUGCCGGGCUAGAGUCCGGAAGAGGCGAGUGGAACUCCUGGUGUAGCGGUGGAAUGCGCAGAUAUCAGGAGGAACACCGGUGGCGAAGGCGGGUCUCUGGGCCGAAAUUGACGCUGAGGAGCGAAAGCGUGGGGAGCAAACAGG